GGCGGGAUGGCAGAGUGGUCAUGCAGCGGCCUGCAAAGCCGUGAACGCCGGUUCGAUUCCGACUCCCGCCUCCA
This 74-nucleotide transfer RNA is filed under the name Pandoraea norimbergensis. RNAcentral describes it as "tRNA-Cys". It matches the Rfam family "tRNA". From Rfam's summary of the family: Transfer RNA (tRNA) molecules are approximately 80 nucleotides in length. Their secondary structure includes four short double-helical elements and three loops (D, anti-codon, and T loops). Further hydrogen bonds mediate the characteristic L-shaped molecular structure. tRNAs have two regions of fundamental functional importance: the anti-codon, which is responsible for specific mRNA codon recognition, and the 3' end, to which the tRNAs corresponding amino acid is attached (by aminoacyl-tRNA synthetases). tRNAs cope with the degeneracy of the genetic code in two manners: having more than one tRNA (with a specific anti-codon) for a particular amino acid; and 'wobble' base-pairing, i.e. permitting non-standard base-pairing at the 3rd anti-codon position. Lineage: Bacteria; Pseudomonadati; Pseudomonadota; Betaproteobacteria; Burkholderiales; Burkholderiaceae. RNAcentral also lists the same sequence under 1 other name. The record is from RNAcentral.